This 67-nucleotide transfer RNA is filed under the name Parnassius apollonius. Its description in RNAcentral is "tRNA-Thr". It matches the Rfam family "tRNA". From Rfam's summary of the family: Transfer RNA (tRNA) molecules are approximately 80 nucleotides in length. Their secondary structure includes four short double-helical elements and three loops (D, anti-codon, and T loops). Further hydrogen bonds mediate the characteristic L-shaped molecular structure. tRNAs have two regions of fundamental functional importance: the anti-codon, which is responsible for specific mRNA codon recognition, and the 3' end, to which the tRNAs corresponding amino acid is attached (by aminoacyl-tRNA synthetases). tRNAs cope with the degeneracy of the genetic code in two manners: having more than one tRNA (with a specific anti-codon) for a particular amino acid; and 'wobble' base-pairing, i.e. permitting non-standard base-pairing at the 3rd anti-codon position. The record is from RNAcentral. RNAcentral also lists the same sequence under 1 other name. Lineage: Eukaryota; Metazoa; Arthropoda; Insecta; Lepidoptera; Papilionidae.
GUUUUUAUAGUUUAAAGUUAAAACAUUGGUCUUGUAAAUCAAAAAUAAGUAUAUUACUUUAAAAACU